UGGCAGCUGCUUCUCCGAGGCCUGCCAGUGAGCUGGAGUCGCUGCGUCUGCACUGACACGGCCCCUGUGCGCUGUCACAGAGGUGCAGGACCAAGCUGUGCCGCCAGGCAGGCGAGUCCCUGGCUGCAGGGCCGUGCACUGCUCCAGAGCCUUUCAGGGCAUUUUGGGACUCAAAGCGCUUCCAGAGACAUUGAUUGGACAGAUGAUGGGAGUGAUGUACUGAAAAGAAUGGAGCGAAGACAAUGAAAUGUGUCGGUGUGCUCUCGGUCUGUCUCCAGAGCUCUGUUCUGGCUUAACUUUCCCCCAGCCUAACUCCAGGAAGUUCUUACUGAGAGAAAAUUUUUUGCAGAGUUGUUACACGAUCGAUAGAGCUUUAAGCGAAUGUGUGGCAAGUAAUUGGGAUCCGGAAUUUGCUUUCCUUUCUCUGCGGGUCUUUAGCAGUGCGCCUGGUUCCUGGAACAAAAACUACCUUCCUGCACCUGCCCCUGUGCCUGGCGUGGCCAUGUGACCCCCAGGGGCGGUGGCCUGCUGGCGGCGGAAGCCUGUUCUUCAAGGGGGUGCAUGUCUCUGCUGCUCCCCACCCUGCUGCUCCAUGGCGCCUUGCAGAUGAGCUGCUCUGGAGGGCAGAGCCAGCUGGGUAGCGGAGCAGCUGGAGGGAAAGUGCUUUGGCGACUGCAGAACUUGGCGGCCACCUGCCCUGCAGCGCCCACCUCUGGAUGGACACGAAACUUCUGCCUUACUGAAGACACUGCUGAUUCUGGCCUGGGAGACUGCAACUGAAUCUGUAGAUCCUCUAAAGCCAAGGCAAGACGGUGGGAGGUCAUUUUCUGAUCAGAAGUUAGUUUGCAAAAUGCUAAAAUAAUGAUAAAAUAGCAUCAGAAAAUGCUCUCGUCCACAGACCCAGUAUUCUCGGGUGGGUGAACUUAUAGUAGCUUGAACAUCUGCUGAUGGGCCACAGCAAAGAGAAACCAAGAGCAAAGCGCAUCAAUCAGGGCGGAUUUUAUUACAACCAGCCCAGGAAAUCUUGGGCAGUCAAGUCUUUCGCCAUCAUUACAUUCCGAUCUCAGGUCUACAUUUCAAGAAAUUGGAGUUACUGACAGAGCGCUGCAUCAGUACGAGGACGGCCAGCGAUCCAGCGUAGUUGCUUUCCAGGCAAGGACACUUGCUGAUGGUGGGGAAUCUCCCUGUGCCAGGUGGGGUCUUCGGGAGGAAGAUCUGACCUGUGAGGCGCUUGUAAAGGUUUUCAACCACUUCAAAGAAGUUGCAAUAAAU
This is a long non-coding RNA of Condylura cristata (star-nosed mole), 1272 nucleotides long. RefSeq lists it as uncharacterized. The transcript is spliced from 3 exons. NCBI's taxonomy places the organism in Eukaryota, Metazoa, Chordata, Mammalia, Eulipotyphla, Talpidae. The record is from RefSeq and is a predicted model, not a curated record.